GACGAACGCUGGCGGCGUGCUUAACACAUGCAAGUCGAACGGAAAGGCCCUGCUUUUGUGGUGUGCUCGAGGGGCGAACGGGUGAGUAACACGUGAGUAACCUGCCCUUGACUUUGGGAUAACUUCAGGAAACUGGGGCUAAUACCGGAUAGGAGCCCCUGCUGCAUGGUGGGGGGUGGAAAUUUUCGGCGGUUGGGGAUGGACUCGCGGCUUAUCAGCUUGUUGGUGGGGUAGUGGCUUACCAAGGCUUUGACGGGUAGCCGGCCUGAGAGGGUGACCGGCCACAUUGGGACUGAGAUACGGCCCAGACUCCUACGGGAGGCAGCAGUGGGGAAUAUUGCACAAUGGGCGGAAGCCUGAUGCAGCAACGCCGCGUGCGGGAUGACGGCCUUCGGGUUGUAAACCGCUUUCGCCUGUGACGAAGCGUGAGUGACGGUAAUGGGUAAAGAAGCACCGGCUAACUACGUG
This 468-nucleotide ribosomal RNA is filed under the name uncultured bacterium. RNAcentral describes it as "partial 16S ribosomal RNA". It matches the Rfam family "Bacterial small subunit ribosomal RNA", at positions 28 to 507 of the family's 1533-position model. The record is from RNAcentral.